This 898-nucleotide long non-coding RNA is filed under the name Junco hyemalis (dark-eyed junco). Its description in RNAcentral is "lncRNA (ENSJHYG00000014207.1)". Lineage: Eukaryota; Metazoa; Chordata; Aves; Passeriformes; Passerellidae. The record is from RNAcentral.
CUGUCUUUCAAGCCUUGCUGCCAUAAUACAUGGUAUGGCAAAGCAUGAGAUUCUGCAUUUCCCUUUAAAUUUUUGCUCAUUUAAACAAAAUGCAAACCUGAAAUAGGCAGUCUUUGAAAAUUAUUCCAUUUUGCCCUUUUUGAUCAGUUGAGGUAAAUUUUCUCAGUCUUUGCUAUUGUAUAAAGCGGGCUUAAACUAAAGACUUAACUUUUCAUUGUUCCCAGAUUGAGACAUCUAGGGCUUUCUUCAUGGAAAUGUGGAGAACCCAGAAAUGUCAGCUGCUCACAGAACUGCUGACUUAGUGGCAAGUGAUCAAAGGAUGAAGUUUCUAUCACUUGAGGACUGUCUUUGGAGAUAUUUAAAAGGAGGGUACCCAAGAAGAUGGAGCAUUUUGUGUGAAGAGUGGACUAGGCAGCUGAAGAAUUGCCACAGGCUUUCAGGGCACCAUCGAAUCUGUGCAAGUCCUUCAGAUGAACAACCCCCCCUCUGAAAUGCUUAAUCCAGGCUUGAUACCUCAAGAAAACUUCAGAGGAGUUACUAUUGCCACGCACCAAUGGUAAGGCAAAAGAGAAGCAAGUUAUUCAUGUUUAAUGUUGUUUUGUACCAGAUGUUUUGCUGGUAGAAAUCCAUAGCUCCACAGGCAUCAAUUUCUUCAGGAUCUGGAAUGUUUGACACAAUUUUUUUUCCUCCUUUCUGGAUGGUCUGUGAAGGAAGCUGCUUGGUUUUGCAAUAUUGAAUAUUCAUGCUGAGAAGUUAUAAGCAAAAACAAAAUAAUGAGAGACAGGGUCUCUAAUAAGCUUCCUGUCACAUGAGGCUGUGGUUCUGGUGAAGCAGAUGUGGUUGCUGACUUGUUUCCAAAAUGUUUGCUGAGUGGUGAUUAGAUUCUGUCAUAGUGAUG